CCCCUAGAUGUUCUGGGCCGCGCGCGCGCUACACUGAACAGUUCAACAAGUCUUAACCUUGGCCGAUAGGUCUGGGUAAUCUUUGAACGCUGUUCGUGAUUGGGAUAGACCUUUGCAAUUAUGGGUCUUCAACGAGGAAUUCCUAGUAAACGCAAGUCAUCAGCUUGCAUUGAUUACGUCCCUGCCCUUUGUACACACCGCCCGUCGCACCUACCGAUUGAAUGGUCCGGUGAAAUCUCGGGACGGCGGCUUGGUCGCUUGCGUCCGACUGCUGAAACUUGAUUAAACCAUAUCAUUUAGAGGAAGGUGAANUCGUANCA
RNAcentral lists this ribosomal RNA (320 nucleotides) under uncultured eukaryote. RNAcentral describes it as "partial 18S ribosomal RNA". It matches the Rfam family "Eukaryotic small subunit ribosomal RNA", at positions 1470 to 1796 of the family's 1831-position model. The record is from RNAcentral.